CUGUGGCUCUUCCUUGGGUUCAGUGUCUUCCAUGGCGCAGUGCUUGUCCUCUGCCUCCUCCUCGUCACUCCUGGUUGGCCGCUAAUCCUCCACUCCUCACAGGUCGAUGCUGCCUCCUGGCCCUGGUGGUAGUCCUCCUAAGCUGAUCACUGGGUUAGGACGGUGUUCAGGAUGUAGCCAGUGAUGGGUUAUGGUGUUGAAGUCAAAUGUUCAGUUUUAUCAAUGGAGUUUGUAGAGGUUGAGUGUUGGAUGAAUAUGUUUUUGAAGCUUAUAGAAGAGUAUGAUUCUGAAACUUGGCUUGGCUUGAAGAAAAAGAAGAAGAGGAAGAAGAAGACAAGCCAAAUGUUCAGUUUUAUCAAUGGAAUUUGUAGAGGUUGAGUGUUGGAUGAAUACAUUUUUGAAGCUUAUAGAAGAGUAUGAUUCUGAAACUUGGCCUUAGAGAAAAGUUGAAAAAUGACAAAAAAAUAAAUAAAAUGUUCAGUUUCAUCAGUUAAAUGUGAUCUUGAAAAUUAAGGCAAAUGAAGCAAAGUUGAAAAAUGUGAAGACUAGGAAAGGAAGAUCACAGUCAAAAAUGUUCAGCUUCAUCAAUUAAAUGUGAUCUUGAAAAUUAAGGCAAAUGAAGCAAAGUUGAAAAUGUGAAGACUAGGAAAGGAAGAUCACACACAGUCUUGAUAUAAAAAAGUUCGGAUGUCCUUCCCCUCCCCUCCUCACCCCACCCUGGCAGGCAAGAAUACAGUGGUCAAAGGUCAACUUUUAUUAUAAAAUAAAUAGUAAAUGGUUCUUGAAGCACUAAACGUGAAACAAACGUGUAGGUAACUGGCAUCGUCCACCUGUGCUGCGGGUGGACAGGUAACACAGUACAGUCGUCGCUCAAAUAGUACGGUUUCCAAUAGUCCGGUUUUGGUUUUAUGUGGAUUUUCAUAGAAGGUUUUUUUAGGAUUUUUGAAUUUCCCGAUGAGCAGGAAAUUGAUCAAGUUUCUUAAUGGUCCCUCCAAGCGAGAAAAAUGAAAAACAAUCACCCCUCACACAAACCAUUUCAUAAUAUAUAUCAAAGCAUUUGUGAUCAGUUUAUGCAUCAUCUAUUUUGAGGGGUUUAUAUCAUGGCACAAAUUUGGCCCGUCGCUACUACACGGUAAAGCCACAAAUUUGGCCCGUCGCUGCUACAUGGUAAAGCCACAAAUUUGGCCCGUCAUUGCUACACAGUAAAGCCACAAAUUUGGCCCGUCGUUGCUACACGGUAAAGCCACAAAUUUGGCCCAUCACUGCUACACGGUAAGGCCACAAAUCUGGCCCGUCGCUGCUACACGGUGAAGCCACAAAUUUGGUCCGUCACUGCUACACGGUAAAGCCACAAAUUUGGUCCGUCGCUGCUACCGGGUUAAAAAUCCUAAAAAGAUCUUCCGUGACAAUCCGUAUAAAACCAAAACCGAACUAUUGAAAACCUUACUAUUUGAGGGGCGACUGUAAUAAUCAUCUUCAGCCUUUCUCUCGGCCUUCACUAAAACCAAUCAUAAAAGUAAAAAAAUACUACAACAGCGACUUCAUUUUAUAGUGUCCUUAAUUAACGUGGUACAGCAGCGGGGAUGUAUUUACAAGACUUGCGGCUUAGGGCGAGGGAGAGCCACGCA
Long non-coding RNA from Eriocheir sinensis (Chinese mitten crab), 1628 nucleotides. RefSeq lists it as uncharacterized. The record is from RefSeq and is a predicted model, not a curated record. The transcript has 3 exons. NCBI's taxonomy places the organism in Eukaryota, Metazoa, Arthropoda, Malacostraca, Decapoda, Varunidae.